Molecule: ribosomal RNA, 389 nt
Filed under: uncultured bacterium
Lineage: Bacteria
Description: bacterial SSU rRNA
Rfam family: Bacterial small subunit ribosomal RNA
Source: RNAcentral
GACGAACGCUGGCGGCGUGCCUAACACAUGCAAGUCGAGCGAAUGAAGUUCCUUCGGGAAUGGAUUUAGCGGCGGACGGGUGAGUAACACGUGGGCAACCUGCCUCAUAGAGGGGAAUAGCCUUCCGAAAGGGAGAUUAAUACCGCAUAAGAUUGUAGUACCGCAUGAUACAGCAAUUAAAGGAGCAAUCCGCUAUGAGAUGGGCCCGCGGCGCAUUAGCUAGUUGGUGAGGUAACGGCUCACCAAGGCGACGAUGCGUAGCCGACCUGAGAGGGUGAUCGGCCACAUUGGGACUGAGACACGGCCCAGACUCCUACGGGAGGCAGCAGUGGGGAAUAUUGCACAAUGGGGGAAACCCUGAUGCAGCAACGCCGCGUGAGUGAUGACGG